Molecule: ribosomal RNA, 253 nt
Filed under: uncultured bacterium
Lineage: Bacteria
Description: partial 16S ribosomal RNA
Rfam family: Bacterial small subunit ribosomal RNA
Source: RNAcentral
GACAGAGGGUGCAAACGUUGUUCGGAAUUAUUGGGCGUAAAGAGCUCGUAGGCGGUCUGUCGCGUCUGCUGUGAAAAUCCAGGGCUCAACCCUGGACCUGCAGUGGGUACGGGCAGACUAGAGUGCGGUAGGGGAGAUCGGAAUUCCUGGUGUAGCGGUGAAAUGCGCAGAUAUCAGGAGGAACACCGGUGGCGAAGGCGGAUCUCUGGGCCGUAACUGACGCUGAGGAGCGAAAGCAUGGGGAGCGAACAGG